ACGCCCCGGCGCUCCUUCUCCGUUCGCCGGCACUGCAUCGCACUACACUCCUGCGCCUGCUGCUCCCAUGCACUACGGCACUCCGGCUGCCCCUGCCUUGCAGCCAACUGGACCAGCCUGGGAUCAGACGGCACUGAUCCAUGCUCUCAACAACCUGGCCGGCGCGCCCCAGACGCAGCCGCCGAUUGGUGAAUGGUACAUGGACACGGGUGCCACCUCGCACAUGUCUUCGUCGUCAGGACCGGCGCACAAGGACGGAGCUCCUCCGAUGUGAUGACGACGGCGAUCUCUACCCUGUCACUGCACCCACCCUCCACCACAACCUCGCCGUCGCUGCCGUGGACAUCUGGCACCAACGCCUUGGACAUCCAGGACGUGAUGCCCUGAAGCUCACCCUACGUCAAGCUGCUCCAACCACCAACGCCGCUCCCGCCCACACCUGCAGUGCCUGCCAAAUAGGAAAACACAGUAGAUUUCCGUUUUCAGAUUCAGCUCAUGUUUCGUAUUUCCCUUUCCAAUUAGUUCACUGUGAUAUCUGGACAUCUCCUGUACUUAGUAAUUCCGGCUGUAAAUACUAUCUAGUAGUUCUCGAUGAUUACAGUCACUUUGCCUGGACU
Long non-coding RNA from Lolium rigidum, 617 nucleotides. RefSeq lists it as uncharacterized. Lineage: Eukaryota; Viridiplantae; Streptophyta; Magnoliopsida; Poales; Poaceae. The record is from RefSeq and is a predicted model, not a curated record. The transcript is spliced from 2 exons.